UAGGGAAUAUUGGGCAAUGGGCGAAAGCCUGACCCAGCAACGCCGCGUGUGCGAUGAAGGUCUUCGGAUCGUAAAGCACUUUUCGGGGAGAUGAGAAAGGACAGUAUCCCCGGAAUAAGUCUCGGCUAACUACGUGCCAGCAGCCGCGGUGAAACGUAGGAGGCAAGCGUUAUCCGGAUUUACUGGGCGUAAAGCGCGUGCAGGCGGUUCGGUAAGUUGGAUGUGAAAGCUUCCGGCUCAACUGGGAGAGGUCGUUCAAUACUACCGGACUUGAGAGUGGUAGAGGGAGGUGGAAUUCCCGGUGUAGUGGUGAAAUGCGUAGAUAUCGGGAGGAACACCAGUGGCGAAAGCGGCCUCCUGGACCAUUUCUGACGCUCAGACGCGAAAGCUAGGGGAGCAAACGGGAUUAGAGACCCCGGUAGUCCUAGCUGUAAACGAUGUGAACUUGGCGUCGGUGGUGUAAAAACCAUCGGUGCCGAAGCCAACGCGAUAAGUUCACCGCCUGGGGACUACGGCCGCAAGGUUA
RNAcentral lists this ribosomal RNA (526 nucleotides) under uncultured bacterium. RNAcentral describes it as "bacterial SSU rRNA". It matches the Rfam family "Bacterial small subunit ribosomal RNA", at positions 355 to 896 of the family's 1533-position model. The record is from RNAcentral.